UGGAAGUAAAAAGUCGUAACAAGGUCUCCGUUGGUGAACCAGCGGAGGGAUCAUUACUGAGUUUACGCUCUACAACCCUUUGUGAACAUACCUAUAACUGUUGCUUCGGCGGGUAGGGUCUCCGUGACCCUCCCGGCCUCCCGCCCCCGGGCGGGUCGGCGCCCGCCGGAGGAUAACCAAACUCUGAUUUAACGACGUUUCUUCUGAGUGGUACAAGCAAAUAAUCAAAACUUUUAACAACGGAUCUCUUGGUUCUGGCAUCGAUGAAGAACGCAGCGAAAUGCGAUAAGUAAUGUGAAUUGCAGAAUUCAGUGAAUCAUCGAAUCUUUGAACGCACAUUGCGCCCGCCAGCAUUCUGGCGGGCAUGCCUGUUCGAGCGUCAUUUCAACCCUCAAGCUCUGCUUGGUGUUGGGGCCCUACAGCUGAUGUAGGCCCUCAAAGGUAGUGGCGGACCCUCCCGGAGCCUCCUUUGCGUAGUAACUUUACGUCUCGCACUGGGAUCCGGAGGGACUCUUGCCGUAAAACCCCCAAUUUUCCAAAGGUGACCUCGGAUCAG
Molecule: ribosomal RNA, 556 nt
Filed under: fungal sp. GZ-2010a
Lineage: Eukaryota; Fungi
Description: eukaryotic LSU rRNA
Rfam family: 5.8S ribosomal RNA (bases 229-382)
Source: RNAcentral